Molecule: ribosomal RNA, 509 nt
Filed under: uncultured bacterium
Lineage: Bacteria
Description: partial 16S ribosomal RNA
Rfam family: Bacterial small subunit ribosomal RNA
Source: RNAcentral
GACGAACGCUGGCGGCGUGCUUAACACAUGCAAGUCGAACGAAGAGCGAUGGAAGCUUGCUUCUAUCAAUCUUAGUGGCGAACGGGUGAGUAACGCGUAAUCAACCUGCCCUUCAGAGGGGGACAACAGUUGGAAACGACUGCUAAUACCGCAUACGAUCUAAUCUCGGCAUCGAGGAUAGAUGAACGGUGGCCUCUACAUGUAAGCUAUCACUGAAGGAGGGGAUUGCGUCUGAUUAGCUAGUUGGAGGGGUAACGGCCCACCAAGGCGAUGAUCAGUAGCCGGUCUGAGAGGAUGAACGGCCACAUUGGGACUGAGACACGGCCCAGACUCCUACGGGAGGCAGCAGUGGGGAAUCUUCCGCAAUGGACGAAAGUCUGACGGAGCAACGCCGCGUGAGCGAUGACGGCCUUCGGGUUGUAAAGCUCUGUUAAUCGGGACGAAAGGCCUUCUUGCGAAUAGUGAGAAGGAUUGACGGUACCGGAAUAGAAAGCCACGGCUAACUACGU